AUGCCUGUGGUGAAGCGAGUUUUGUCCCUGCUGGCAGUCCACAGGUGAGACCUUCGCUUGGAGUCGAAGGAGAGCCAAGAGGGGUGAAAGGAGACCCCCUUGUGUCAUGAAAGAACCUCGCUUGGAGGACAAGUGGCCGAGGGGCUUGGA
This is a long non-coding RNA of Chiroxiphia lanceolata (lance-tailed manakin), 150 nucleotides long. RefSeq lists it as uncharacterized. NCBI's taxonomy places the organism in Eukaryota, Metazoa, Chordata, Aves, Passeriformes, Pipridae. The transcript has 3 exons. The record is from RefSeq and is a predicted model, not a curated record.